Molecule: ribosomal RNA, 301 nt
Filed under: uncultured bacterium
Lineage: Bacteria
Description: partial 16S ribosomal RNA
Rfam family: Bacterial small subunit ribosomal RNA
Source: RNAcentral
CAGCAGCCGCGGUAACACGUAGGGCGCAAGCGUUAUCCGGAAUUAUUGGGCGUAAAGAGCUCGUAGGCGGUUUGUCGCGUCUGCCGUGAAAGUCCGGGGCUCAACCCCGGAUCUGCGGUGGGUACGGGCAGACUAGAGUGAUGUAGGGGAGACUGGAAUUCCUGGUGUAGCGGUGAAAUGCGCAGAUAUCAGGAGGAACACCGAUGGCGAAGGCAGGUCUCUGGGCAUUAACUGACGCUGAGGAGCGAAAGCAUGGGGAGCGAACAGGAUUAGAUACCCCCGUAGUCCCUGUCUCUUAUAC